GGGAUACCACCCUUGUAGUACUGGGACUCUAACCAUAGGCCAUGAAUCUGGUCUUGGGACACUGUCAGGUGGGCAGUUUGACUGGGGCGGUCGCCUCCCAAAAGGUAACGGAGGCGCUCAAAGGUUCGCUCAGUACGGUCGGAAAUCGUACGUAGAGUGUAAAGGCAAAAGAGAGCUUGAUUGCAAGACAUACAGGUCGAGCAA
RNAcentral lists this ribosomal RNA (204 nucleotides) under Clostridioides difficile. Its description in RNAcentral is "partial 23S ribosomal RNA". It matches the Rfam family "Bacterial large subunit ribosomal RNA", at positions 2194 to 2396 of the family's 2925-position model. The record is from RNAcentral. Lineage: Bacteria; Bacillati; Bacillota; Clostridia; Peptostreptococcales; Peptostreptococcaceae.